UCGAAUUGAAAACAAAAAAUAUGUAUUUUUUUCGGACUGAUGUGUCAAAUGUGAUAAAAUAACUACUAAGAUCAAUCCAGAUUUUGAACUGGCACUAAUCAAAAGUUGAAGCACUGAAAACUCCUACAUUCUCUCAAUACUACGGUUUCGAAAAAUUUAAAGAUGGGCCAUCAUAUCAUUCCUCCAAUGGCUUUGAUAUUAUGAGAUAACAUCAAGAGCCAAAAUCACCCGGGCCACCCACGUGCAUUUUUUUGAGGUUCCAACUUCGAGUGACAAUAAUAAUAGUAAUAAAGUAUUAAAUUUUUUCAAAUAAUUUU
This is a long non-coding RNA of Bactrocera neohumeralis, 317 nucleotides long. RefSeq lists it as uncharacterized. NCBI's taxonomy places the organism in Eukaryota, Metazoa, Arthropoda, Insecta, Diptera, Tephritidae. The record is from RefSeq and is a predicted model, not a curated record. The transcript is spliced from 3 exons.